UUUUUUUUUUUUUUUUAGGUAUGAUAAUAGUGUUGUGGCUACUUUUAAAAAAUAGUCCUUAUCUUUAGAGGCAUGUGUUGAAGUAUUUAUGGAAGAAAUGAUAUGAGUUGGGGAUUUGCUUCAGUAUAUCAUGGGAGGGGAGAACUGGAUGAGGUUUACCUGAAAUGGGACUUAUCUGAGCGGAUUGUUGAAGCUAUUGGCAUGCUGCCCGUCAACAUCAGACUCUCUCUAUAUCAGUAAACAGCCAAAAGUUUGUUUAAAAAGUUUUUAUAGACCAUAUAAAGUGAUAGCUUAGGUGACAGUUCCCAUUCUUUUAUCUCCCAUGGUUAAUUACAGCAGUUUGGUGCAUGCACCUCUAGACCUUUGCUAUGCAGAUGCUAGGUAUAUUGCAGAUACAUAUACACUUAAAACAGGAAUGAGCUACCACUGUACACACCAUUUUCCCACUAGCGUUUAUUUUUAUUUUUUAAAAAUAUUUUAUUUAUUUGAGAGAGAGCACAAACAGGGAGAGAGGCAAAGAGAGAGGGAGAAGCAGACUCCUUGCCGAGCAGGUAGCUCAAUGUGGGGCUCCAUCCCAGGACCCUGGGAUCAUGACCUGAGCUGAAGGCAGAUGCUCAACUGACUGAGCCACCCAGGCACCCCUCCCACUAGCAUUUAAACUUCACCAUAUUUUGCAGAUGGUUGGCAACUUCAAAACGCUCUCAUUCCUUAAUAGCUUGGUGGCACUCCCCUGUCUUAAAGAACCAUAAUUUAUUUAUCUGAUGCUUUAAUGGUGGAUAGAUGGCACAUCUCCAAUUUUCUGCUCUUAAGAACAAUGAUGCAGUGAACAUCCUUGUACAUAAUAUAUCUUUGUGUAUCUAUGUGAGUACUUCUACAAGCUUUCUAGAAGUGGAAUCAUUAGGUUAAAAGGCGUGCAUAUCUAAAAUUUUAAUAGAAUGACUAAAUUGCCCUUGUUGUAGACUUUGUAUUUCUAAUGUAUGACAUUCUCUUCCAGAACAUAUCUCCGGACUAUUGUCAUUUGGUGCCUGCAGUAGAAAAGCAACAUAGAGUCACAGCCAGAAGGGGUCUCUAAGAUCUUCAGCUUUUGCUUCCAAGGUAGCCACCUGAGCCUUCUCAUCUGUAAACUGGGAGUAAUAUUAAUCCCACCUGUCAAUUGGGGAAGGGCUAGGAGGCUUUUCUCGAUGCUCCAUUUGUACCAUUGUAAUUAAAGUAUAUGCUCAUUUGGGGUGGCAUGGGGGACACUGAUGUAGGAUGAGGGGGGAGGGUACAAAGACCCCCACUAGGCACCAUUUGGCACUGCCAGAGAUAACUUCAAAUGGGGAUAGUUGGGUUUAGUGAGGUUCUAUGUGAUGGAUACCCAGCACCCAGCCCAGAGCCCGGCACACUGCCAGUGCUCCACACUCACAAAUUCCCUAAGAGCUGACAUGAUGGCUGACAGGAGCUACACCAGAACCAGGAAGACUGACUUUUUUGAAAGACUGGCCAGGCCAUCUGGGCCAAUGGCAGAGUUGAGAAGUUCCCAUAGAAACCAUAGUAUAGCUUGCAAAGCCUAAAACAUUCACUAUCUGGCUAUUGAUGGAAAAAAACUGCCAACCUCAGCGCAUGAGUUGUAGGCAUAAUAAUAAAUAUAGUUUUUAAGUGCUUACUAUGUUUCUGGCACCAUUCUGAACAUGUCACGUAUAUAAAUUUAUUCAGUCCUCACAGUAACCCUAUGAGGUAGAUUCUAUUUCUGGUAGCUAGUCUCAAAGAUGGCCCUAGUGAACCACAUCUCCUGGGAUUCAUGCCCUUGUGUGGCUUCCUCCCACAAGUGGGACAGUCUUGCAAUGACUAAUAGAACACAGAUGUGACAGUGUACCAGUGCCAGGCUUAGUCUUUAAGAUGACCGGUGCUUCUACUUCCUCCAUCUUGGAACACUCUGGGGGACGGAGAGAUGGCACUGAAGAGAUGUGGGGAAAGGCCACGGGGAAGAGAGGAGGCUCAGAGACUGGAAGAAUAGGGAGUGGCCAGAUGGCCUGGUUAGGGGGUUAUGGACCAGCCUGGUGACCAUCUGCACUUGCAUGAAACACCCCCAGAUCAGACCAGCAGAACUGCUUGCUGAGCCCAGGGAGCUCAUAGAACUGUGAGAGGCAAUCAAAUGGUUCAGCCACUAGUUCUGUAGGGGUGCAGUGGUUUUCUGCAGCAACACCCACCUGAGACAUGAUCUCUACUGGGACUCUCCCAGGUCUGUCUGAGUUCAAAGCCUUUUCCUCUCCACUCUGAACUAGUGGUCUGUGCCCCUGCAUGGACACUGAGAUCCCACAGAGCUCUUCCAGAUGCCGAUUAAAUCAGAAUAUCUAGGAAUGAAGGCCCACAGUAGGUAUUUUUUAAAUCCUGCAGGAUUUGAGAAACAAGGCCCUAUCCACCAUUUCCAAAACUUGCCUAAAAACAAGAAAUGCCUGGCACAUUUUUUUUUUUUAAACAGAUUCCUGAGCUCCAACAGAUACACUGAUUCAGAAUUUCCAUGGGAGCACCCUGGUAAGCUGCAGAGUUAACGUGUUCCCCCAGGUAAAUCUUAUUAUCAACUGUAGAAGAAAAAAGGGAGAGAGGCAAGCCAGCUCCCAGGUUGGAAGGACUGUUUGGCAGUUUCCUGUUAAGCAUGACACCAAACAACGCAGCUAUCCCCCUUCUGUUGGGUGUUCCCAACAGAAAUGAGUACUUACAUCUGCCAAAAGGCACGCAUGAGGAUGUCCCUAAAAGCUUUAUUCACAAGGUCCCAAACUGGAAACAUCCCCAGUGGCUAUCCACAGGAGCAUGGCUAGACGAAUUGUAGUAGGGCCACAUAACGGACUACGGGGUAGCAGUGAGAAAGCGUGAAGUAGUGACAAAGACCACAACACAGAUGCAUCUCACAGGCCUACUGUUGAGUGUGAAAAGCCAGGCACAGAGAGUGUAGGUUCUACUUGUAUACAGCUCAAGGACUGUCCAGACUGACCUGCAGUGAUAGGGAUCAAAUAGUGGGUAUUUCUGUGUUUGUGUCUAUGUGUGGGAGGGAGGUUCUAGAGCUUGAUGAGAGAGUAGAUAAGUGUGUGCUCUGCUCCCUCCUAGGAUGCCAUGCACACAGCAGGACUUACCCUGCAUUUGGAGCCUACUCGAGAGGCUUUCGCUUGCUUGCUCCUGUGUUUAUUGCUUAUUUGAGACAUAAGUUAUACACCGAGACGUAUAUAUACAACAAAGGGAGCAAUCUUAAGUAUACGGCCCAG
This 3239-nucleotide long non-coding RNA is filed under the name Canis lupus familiaris (dog). RNAcentral describes it as "lncRNA (ENSCAFG00845025446.1)". The record is from RNAcentral. Lineage: Eukaryota; Metazoa; Chordata; Mammalia; Carnivora; Canidae.